CGUAGGGUGCAAGCGUUGUCCGGAAUUAUUGGGCGUAAAGAGCUCGUAGGCGGUCUGUCACGUCGGCUGUGAAAUCCCGAGGCUCAACCUCGGGUCUGCAGUCGAUACGGGCAAACUAGAGUAUUGCAGGGGAGACUGGAAUUCCUGGUGUAGCGGUGAAAUGCGCAGAUAUCAGGAGGAACACCGGUGGCGAAGGCGGGUCUCUGGGCAAUAACUGACGUUGAGGAGCGAAAGCGUGGGAGCGAACAGGAUUAGAUACCCUGGUAGUCCACGCCGUAAACGUUGGGCGCUAGGUGUGGGGCUCAUUCCACGAGUUCCGUGCCGCAGCUAACGCAUUAAGCGCCCCGCCUGGGGAGUACGGCCGCAAGGCUA
RNAcentral lists this ribosomal RNA (372 nucleotides) under uncultured organism. RNAcentral describes it as "bacterial SSU rRNA". It matches the Rfam family "Bacterial small subunit ribosomal RNA", at positions 526 to 896 of the family's 1533-position model. The record is from RNAcentral.